AUGUAGCAGAGAAGGGGACCAUCACAGAAGAGAGGGGCUUCCAGAACCCCUGCAGCUCUGUGGCUUUAUCUGAGUACUGACCUGCUCCUGUUACUUGCUCCUGGGUUACAUUUCCCACGGAAGGUCAGCCAGACGGCAACAGGGCAACAGGCUUUCUGUCUCUUUUGUUCUCUGCGGCACACAGAGUGGCGUCUGACACACAAGAUAUGAAAAUUGGCUGCAGCUUGUCCUCAAUUCUUCUUUCAAGGCCGUGUUCUUUGCCAUGCAUCAGAUUUAAUGGAAACGCUAGUAAAGGGAUGGAAAUGUCUCGGGUUAUUUCAUUACCAUAGAAGCAACAUAAAAGCCCACACCUCCACGUAACUUAGAUAACCCUGAAACUCUACCUGGGAGGCUUGUGUGGGAAAUCUCGUCCCCUCACAGACUUCCUGAGGGCUUCCUCUCAAGUCGAAGUUUGAAGAGAGCAUCAUUGCUUGACAAUAAAUAUUUCUCAAGC
Molecule: long non-coding RNA, 493 nt
Filed under: Mus pahari (shrew mouse)
Lineage: Eukaryota; Metazoa; Chordata; Mammalia; Rodentia; Muridae
Description: predicted gene 14272 (MGP_PahariEiJ_G0005623.1)
Source: RNAcentral